CGCCGGGGUUGCCGACCGGCGCUGCGCCCGGGCCGGCCGCCCGGCGGGCGGCGUCGCCCGCCGCUGCCGGUUAUGAUCGCGGGCAUGACCUGGCGA
This 96-nucleotide transfer RNA is filed under the name Micromonospora sp. MW-13. Its description in RNAcentral is "tRNA-Ala". The record is from RNAcentral. Lineage: Bacteria; Bacillati; Actinomycetota; Actinomycetes; Micromonosporales; Micromonosporaceae.